Molecule: ribosomal RNA, 443 nt
Filed under: uncultured bacterium
Lineage: Bacteria
Description: partial 16S ribosomal RNA
Rfam family: Bacterial small subunit ribosomal RNA
Source: RNAcentral
CCUACGGGGCGCAGCAGUGGGGAAUAUUGGGCAAUGGGCGCAAGCCUGACCCAGCAACGCCGCGUGAAGGAAGAAGGCUUUCGGGUUGUAAACUUCUUUUCUCAGGGACGAAGCAAGUGACGGUACCUGAGGAAUAAGCCACGGCUAACUACUUGCCAGCAGCCGCGGUAAUCCGUAGGUGGCAAUCGUUAUCCGGAUUUACUGGGUGUAAAGGGCGUGUAGGCGGGACUGCAAGUCAGAUGUGAAAACCAUGGGCGCAACCUAUGGCCUGCAUUUGAAACUGUAUGUCUUGAGUACUGGAGAGGCAGACGGAAUUCCUAGUGGAGCGGUGAAAUGCGUAGAUAUUAGGAGGAAAACCAGUGGCGAAGGCGGUCUGCUGGACAGCAACUGACGCUGAGGCGCGAAAGCGGGGGGAGCAAACAGGAUUAGAUAACCUAGUAGUC